UGGGCGCGGGAAGGAGCCGAAGCAGCGAGCUGGGCGGGCCAGAGCCGGGGAAGUGGGCGGAGAGUGGGCGAGGGCAGAAGGAAAAGGAAAGAUGUUGGAAGACUGGAAGAUUUUUAUUUCGAUUCUUACAAUCAUUAGCCCUUCGGGGGGUCGGCCCCGGGGUAUCUUGCAGCCUGGAACUCACUUCGACCCCUGGAAUUUAAGCGACGUGCUGGAGCCCAUGUUUCACGUUAGUGCCCCUUUCCUCUGUCCCCACCCCGCCACGUGCGCAGGCAGGGAGGGCGGUCCUCAAGCUUCGAACAAGGUCAAAGACGCUGUUCAGACGGUGCUGCUGUGGGUUUGGAGAGGCGCAGCCCAGUCUGACUCGUGCAUUUUUGCCCCCUACUGUCAACAUAAUUUGUUAGGAUUCCUCAAGACCUCAGACCUAACAGACCCAGCCUGCCCCAUGUGUGGUUCUGUCUUCAUGAGAACGUUUGCUCCCGAAUCGCACGUCCUUGGCACCAAAGAGCAUCGAGUCCAUUUCUCAGAGCUCUACUGUGCUCAUUAAAACACAGUUAUGUAAGUACUUAGCAAAGGUCAGUACUCCACGUAAGCAAUACCGGUAUCUCUGCUGAGAGUUUAGAAGUCCAUUGGGAUCCCAGUGACUACUUUUCACUUGGUGAAAUCAAAGUACAUCAGCUGUAAUAACACUGUUUCUGCCAGCGAGCUGAGAAAAUGAACCAAAAGAAUAACCGGCACCCACGCUCCAGUGUGAGUUGUUCAGAACCAAAGGAUGAGAGUCCCGAGGUUUCCAAACAGUUUCUGAUCUCGGGAGGUAAAGCUUGCAUUUUGCUCGUGCUUUGCAGAUUUGUUUUCAAAAUGAUGUAGCUGUGGAAAACUCACGUGGGUCAAACUAAAAAACUUCAUGUAGUUUAUGGCAUUGGUUUUAAAAUGAAAGAUUUUAAAAAUUAGGCCGAGCACGGGUGGCUCACGCCUGUAAUCCCAGCCCUUUCGGAGGCCAAGGAGGGCGGAUCACUGAAGUCAGGAGUCCGAGAGCAGCCUGGCCAACACGCUGAAACCUCGUCUCUAGUAAACAUAAAACAAUCAGCCGGGCAUGGUGGCAGGCGCCUGCGGCCCAGCUACUCGAAAGGGUGAGGCAGGAGAAUUGCCUGAAGCUGCGAGACACAUUGCAGUGGGCUGAGAUCGCUCCAUUGCACUUCAGCCUCGGCGACAGAGCGAGACUCCAUCAAAAAAAAAAAAAAAAAAAAAAGUGAGACAUACGAGCUAGUAUGAUCUUUAGGUGGCCCACCUGCCUCAGCCUCCCAGAGUGUUGGGAUUACAGGCCGUGAGCCACCACGCCCAGCGGCUCAUACGUUCUUGACCUUGCCCUGACUUGUAUCCAUGAUCAGCUUCAUGGAAGAAUGUUUUAAAAAGCAGCUUUCUUGAAAUAUAAUUCACAUGCCAUAUUUCCCUACUUCAAGUGUACAAUCCAGUGGUUUUUAUAUAUUCAUCACAUUAUCACCCCAAGAAGAAAUUCUGUACCCAUUAGCAGUCACUUCUUUCUAAUUUGUGUUCUGUUUAAAGAUUUGCCUUUUCUGAAAUUUCAUAUAAACGAAGUCAUGAUGUAGUCCUUCGCGACUGGCUUCAUCACUUAGCAUAACGUUUUCAAGGUUCAUGUUGUAGCAUAUAUCAGUACUUAAUUCCUUUUUGUUGUGGAAUAACAUUGCAUUGUACGAAUAUUCUGUAUUUUCUUUAGUCAUCAAUUGAUGAACAUUUGGUUCGUUUCUGCCUUUUGGCUGUUAUAAGUAAUGCUGCUGUGAACGUUCAUUUAAAAGCUUUUGCGUAGAUGUUUUUAAUUCUCUUGAUAUAUAUGCGGGAGCGGAAUUACUGGCAUAUAUGUUAACUCUAUCUUUUGCCGUGUAAGAAACUGCCAGAUGUUUUCCAAGUCCGUUGCACCAUCUUACAUUUCCACUAGCAGUGUAUGAGGGUUCUGAUUUCUCCACAAUCCUGUUAUGUUGUCUUUUUUAGUAUUACCAUCCUUGUGGGUAUGAAGAAGUAUGUCAUGGUGGUGGGUUUUUUUUUUUAAUUUUUUGGUUUUUUUUUUUUUUUUUUUUUUUUGAGACAGAGUUUUGCUCUUGAUGCCCAGUCUGGAGUACAGUGGCUCAAUCUUGGCUCACCACAACCUCCAUCUGCCAGGUUCAAGCAAUUCUCCUGCCUCAGCCUCCUGAGUAGCUGGGACUACAGCCAUGAGCCACUACAUCCGGCUAAUUUUGUAUUUUUAGUAGAUACAGGGUUUCUCCAUGUUGGUCAGGCUGGCCUCGAACUCCUGACCUUAGGUGAUCUGCCUGCCUUGGCCUCCCAAAGUGCUGGGAUUACAGGAGUGAGCCACUGUGCCUGGUGUCAUGGUGGUUUUGAUUUUCUUUUACUCAAUGAUUAAUGAUGUUGAGCAUCUUUUCAUGUGAUUAUUGACCAUUCUAAUAUCUUCUUUGGGGAAAUAUUUAUUCAGAUCUUUUGCCCAUUUUUAUUUAUUUAUUUAUUUAUUGAGACACAGUCUCACACUGUUGCCCAGGCUGGAGUGCCAUGGCACGAUCUCAGCUGACUGCAACCUCCACCUCCUGGGUUCAAGCAAUUCUACUGCCUCAGCCUCCUGAGUAGCUGGGACCACAGGCCCCCACCACCAUUCCCAGAUGAUUUUUGUAUUUUUAAUAGAGACAGGUUUCACCGUGUUGGCCAGGCUGGUCUCAAACUCCUGACCUCAAGUGAUCCACCUACCUCAGCUUCCCAAAGUGUUGGGAUUAUAGGCAUGAGCCACCAAGCCCAGCCUUUUGCCCAUUUUUAAUUUAAAAAAAAGUUUCUUAAAUGAUUGAGGUGUAGAAUUUAUUUAUUCUAGAUACAGGUUCCCUGUCAGAUAGAUAAUUUGCAAAUAAUCUCCCCCAUUCUGUUCUUUCACUUUCUUGGCGGUAUCCUUUGCAGCACAAAAAUGUUUAAUAAAGUCCAACUUAUCUGUUUUUUUCAUUUGUCCCUUGUGCUUUUGUUGUUUUAGCUAAUACACCUUUGAAGAAUUUUUUUUACUGCUAUAAUAACCAUGAAAAAACAGUAUGGAGCAGAUGUUGAGGAAAAAAUGAAGUUUUUAGUUUCAGCUACUAUGGAACAGAAUUGGAGACACCUGGUCACAGCUGAGCAAAUUCUAUGACACUGUGUGUUUGGGACUGUACUAGGUCUUAAUGAGAUGAGCCAAGAAAUAGCAGCAAUGCGCCCUGGAGGAAGAAAACACUGCCAGCUCAAUUUUCUCUUGAAAGGACUAUAAAAUAAGAAGAUACCUGAAAUUCCUGUAAUAAGGGACGAAACGGUGAAGCUCUUGGUUGGAGACUGAGGAUGGAGAUGGGGCCGUUUAGAAUGCUCAGAUUCAAGAGGCAAGCACAAAGGAGAGUUGACGAAGGGUCCUGAGCAGGGACAGCUGGAAAAGCAGGAUUUCUCCUCUGGUUGAGCUGAGAAGAGUAGAACAAACCAAGCCACUAGGACCCACACCAAUGCUUCCGUUUUCCCAAGAGGGCCAAUGGCCAGGGCAAUGGACAAUAAGCUUUUGGAGGGUAGCAGGACUGUGUGUCUGUGGCACCAUCAUACCCUCCGUACCUAACUCCCUACCUGGCAAAUGUCAAUUGCUCAGAAAUUGUUUGCUGUAUGAAGAAUGACUGAAUAAACCACAUGACUUUAUGCUAAAUGUUGGACUAGAACUUUGAGAAAUGUCGUCUCUCCCAGGCAAAGAAAAACUUAUAGAGUAGGAGGGUUAUUCCGUUUGGAAGUGGACA
Callithrix jacchus (white-tufted-ear marmoset) is the source of this 3788-nucleotide non-coding RNA. Lineage: Eukaryota; Metazoa; Chordata; Mammalia; Primates; Cebidae. The record is from RefSeq and is a predicted model, not a curated record.